Molecule: ribosomal RNA, 2241 nt
Filed under: activated sludge metagenome
Description: bacterial LSU rRNA
Rfam family: Bacterial large subunit ribosomal RNA
Source: RNAcentral
AGCGCAUGCGGUGGAUGCCUUGGCGACCACAGGCGAUGAAAGACGUGGCAGCCUGCGAAAAGCUCCGGGGAGUUGGCAAAUAAGCGUUGAUCCGGAGAUCUCUGAAUGGGGAAACCCACCCGCAAGGGUAUCCCGGCCCCAAUCCAUAAGGCCGGGAAGCGAACCCGGGGAACUGAAACAUCUCAGUACCCGGAGGAACAGAAAUCAACCGAGAUUCCGCCAGUAGCGGCGAGCGAACGCGGAACAGCCACCGGCAGCUAACCAUCGGGUUAGGAGAACGGCCUGGAAAGGCCGGCCACAGCGGGUGACAGCCCCGUAUCCGACAACCCGAUGGCGAGACUAAGGCCGGGACAAGUAAGGCGGGGCACGUGAAACCCUGUCCGAACAUGGGGGGACCAUCCUCCAAGGCUAAAUACUCGUGGUCGACCGAUAGCGAACCAGUACCGUGAGGGAAAGGCGAAAAGAACCCCGGCGAGGGGAGUGAAAUAGAACCUGAAACCGCAUGCGUGCAAGCAGUCGGAGCCCCUACGGGGGUGACGGCGUACCUUUUGUAUAAUGGGUCAGCGACUUACUUUCAGUGGCGAGCUUAACCGGUAGGGGAAGCGCAGGGAAACCGAGUCCGAAUAGGGCGCACAGUCGCUGGGAGUAGACCCGAAACCGAGCGAUCUAUCCAUGACCAGGCUGAAGGUGGGGUAACACCCACUGAAGGGCCGAACCCACGUCUGUUGAAAAAGCCGGGGAUGAGUUGUGGAUCGGAGUGAAAGGCUAAUCAAGCUCGGAGAUAGCUGGUUCUCCCCGAAAGCUAUUGAGGUAGCGCCUCGUGUCUCACUCCCGGGGGUAGAGCACUGUUUCGGCUAGGGGGCCAUCCCGGCUUACCAACCCGAGGCAAACUCCGAAUACCGGGAAGUGCAAUCGCGGGAGACACACGGCGGGUGCGAACAUCCGUCGUGAAGAGGGAAACAACCCAGACCGCCAGCUAAGGUCCCCAAAUUGCGGCUCAGUGGGAAACGAUGUGGGAAGGCCCAGACAGCCAGGAGGUUGGCUUAGAAGCAGCCAUCCUUUAAAGAAAGCGUAAUAGCUCACUGGUCGAGUCGGCCCGCGCGGAAGAUUCACCGGGGCUUAAGCCGCAUGCCGAAGCUGCGGAGGCCGCAAGGCCUGGUAGGGGAGCGUUCCGUACACCGUUGAAGGUUCACCGUGAGGUGGGCUGGAGGUAUCGGAAGUGCGAAUGCUGACAUAAGUAACGAUCAUGCGGGUGAAAACCCCGCACGCCGAAUGCCCAAGGGUUCCUGCGCAACGGCAAUCGGCGCAGGGUGAGUCGGCCCCUAAGGCGAGGCCGAAAGGCGUAGUCGAUGGGAAACCGGUCAACAAUCCGGUACUGGCGCGAACUGCGAUGGGGGGACGGAGAAGGCUAAGCCGACCGGCGAUUGGUAGUGCCGGUUCAAGCGCGUAGGCAGGCCGACCAGGCAAAUCCGGCCGGUCAAUGCCGAGACGCGACGACGAGCCCCUCGGGGCGAAGCGGCCCACGCCCGGCUUCCAAGAAAAGCCUCUAAGCUUCAGGUUCGCGCCACCCGUACCCGAAACCGACACAGGUGGGCGAGGAGAGCAUCCUCAGGCGCUGGAGAGAACUCGGGUGAAGGAACUCGGCAAACUAGCACCGUAACUUCGGGAGAAGGUGCGCCCGCAGUAGGUGAAAGCCCUCGCGGCUGGAGCUGAGGCGGGCCGCAGUGACCAGGUGGCUGCGACUGUUUACUAAAAACACAGCACUCUGCCAACACGAAAGUGGACGUAUAGGGUGUGACGCCUGCCCGGUGCCGGAAGGUUAAGUGAUGGGGUCAGCGCAAGCGAAGCUCUUGAUCGAAGCCCCGGUAAACGGCGGCCGUAACUAUAACGGUCCUAAGGUAGCGAAAUUCCUUGUCGGGUAAGUUCCGACCUGCACGAAUGGCGUAACGAUGGCCACACUGUCUCCUCCUGAGACUCAGCGAAGUUGAAAUGUUUGUGAUGAUGCAAUCUCCCCGCGGAAAGACGGAAAGACCCCAUGAACCUUUACUGUAGCUUUGUAUUGGACUUUGAACAGAUCUGUGUAGGAUAGGUGGGAGGCUUUGAAGUGCGGUCGCUAGAUCGCAUGGAGCCAACCUUGAAAUACCACCCUGAAAUGUUCGGACUUCUAACCUUGGCCCGUAAUCCGGGUCGGGGACCGUGUAUGGUGGGUAGUUUGACUGGGGCGGUCUCCUCCCAAAGAGU